UGGGGAAUAUUGCACAAUGGGCGGAAGCCUGAUGCAGCUACGCCGCGUGGGGGAUGAAGGCCUUCGGGUUGUAAACUCCUUUCGACAGGGACGAAGCUUUUGUGACGGUACCUGUAUAAGAAGCACCGGCUAACUACGUGCCAGCAGCCGCGGUAAUACGUAGGGUGCGAGCGUUGUCCGGAAUUACUGGGCGUAAAGAGCUCGUAGGUGGUUUGUCGCGUCGUCUGUGAAAUUCCGGGGCUUAACUCCGGGCGUGCAGGCGAUACGGGCUGACUUGAGUGCUGUAGGGGAGACUGGAAUUCCUGGUGUAGCGGUGAAAUGCGCAGAUAUCAGGAGGAACAACGAUGGCGAAGGCAGGUCUCUGGGCAGUAACUGACGCUGAGGAGCGAAAGCAUGGGUAGCGAACAGG
This 409-nucleotide ribosomal RNA is filed under the name Actinomycetes bacterium. RNAcentral describes it as "Actinobacteria bacterium partial 16S ribosomal RNA". It matches the Rfam family "Bacterial small subunit ribosomal RNA", at positions 355 to 776 of the family's 1533-position model. Lineage: Bacteria; Bacillati; Actinomycetota; Actinomycetes. The record is from RNAcentral.